UACGAAGGGGGCUAGCGUUGCUCGGAAUUACUGGGCGUAAAGCGCACGUAGGCGGCUUCUUAAGUCGGUGGUGAAAUCCUGGAGCUCAACUCCAGAACUGCCUUCGAUACUGGGAAGCUCGGAGUCCGGGAGAGUGAGUGGAACUGCGAGUGGUAGAGGUGAAAUUCGUAGAUAUUAGGAAGAACACCAGUGGCGAAGGCGGCUGAGCAC
RNAcentral lists this ribosomal RNA (210 nucleotides) under uncultured bacterium. RNAcentral describes it as "partial 16S ribosomal RNA". It matches the Rfam family "Bacterial small subunit ribosomal RNA", at positions 524 to 732 of the family's 1533-position model. The record is from RNAcentral.